GGGUUGCUGUGGUAUGCUGGGGUUCCGCUUCAAUGCCUAGUCACCUCAGAUUUUCCUGUACCUGCAGGUAUCACCAGUGAAGCCUGCGAAGCAGCAAAGAUGGCAGUCUGCCCCGUCUUCUAGGAGCUCUGUCACAGGGAGUCUUGCAAUGGUAAACAACAGACCCUGGAGUUUGAGGACAACACCAAGGUACUGCCAUACUUGAGGUGGAGAUGGCGUUUCUCAG
This 226-nucleotide long non-coding RNA is filed under the name Homo sapiens (human). Its description in RNAcentral is "non-protein coding lnc-IGFBP7-5:12". The record is from RNAcentral. Lineage: Eukaryota; Metazoa; Chordata; Mammalia; Primates; Hominidae.